CGGGAUGCAGCAGUCGAGAAUUUUUCUCAAUGGGGGAAACCCUGAAGGAGCGACGCCGCGUGGAGGAUGAAGGUCUUCGGAUUGUAAACUCCUGUCAUUUGAGAACAAACUGCACGGGUUAACUGCCUGUGCACUGAUAGUAUCAGAAGAGGAAGAGACGGCUAACUCUGUGCCAGCAGCCGCGGUAAUACAGAGGUCUCAAGCGUUGUUCGGAUUCAUUGGGCGUAAAGGGUGCGUAGGUGGUCGGGUAAGUCGGAUGUGAAAUCCCGGGGCUCAACCCCGGAACUGCAUUCGAUACUGCCUGGCUAGAGUACUGGAGAGGAGAUUGGAAUUUACGGUGUAGCAGUGAAAUGCGUAGAUAUCGUAAGGAAGACCGGUGGCGAAGGCGGAUCUCUGGACAGUUACUGACACUGAGGCACGAAGGCCAGGGGAGCAAACGGGAUUAGAUACCCCCGU
RNAcentral lists this ribosomal RNA (456 nucleotides) under uncultured Chthoniobacteraceae bacterium. Its description in RNAcentral is "bacterial SSU rRNA". It matches the Rfam family "Bacterial small subunit ribosomal RNA", at positions 342 to 791 of the family's 1533-position model. Lineage: Bacteria; Pseudomonadati; Verrucomicrobiota; Spartobacteria; Chthoniobacterales; Chthoniobacteraceae. The record is from RNAcentral.